GACGAACGCUGGCGGCGUGCCUAAUACAUGCAAGUAGAACGCUGAAGGAGGAGCUUGCUUCUCUGGAUGAGUUGCGAACGGGUGAGUAACGCGUAGGUAACCUGCCUGGUAGCGGGGGAUAACUAUUGGAAACGAUAGCUAAUACCGCAUAAUAGCAGUUGUUGCAUGACAACUGUUUGAAAGGUGCAAUUGCACCACUACCAGAUGGACCUGCGUUGUAUUAGCUAGUUGGUGGGGUAACGGCUCACCAAGGCGACGAUACAUAGCCGACCUGAGAGGGUGAUCGGCCACACUGGGACUGAGACACGGCCCAGUCUCCUACGGGAGGCAGCAGUAGGGAAUCUUCGGCAAUGGACGGAAGUCUGACCGAGCAACGCCGCGUGAGUGAAGAAGGUUUUCGGAUCGUAAAGCUCUGUUGUAAGAGAAGAACGAGUGUGAGAGUGGAAAGUUCACACUGUGACGGUAUCUUACCAGAAAGGGACGGCUAACUACGUG
This 495-nucleotide ribosomal RNA is filed under the name uncultured bacterium. Its description in RNAcentral is "partial 16S ribosomal RNA". It matches the Rfam family "Bacterial small subunit ribosomal RNA", at positions 28 to 507 of the family's 1533-position model. The record is from RNAcentral.